UUUAAACGAAUUGCCCUUGUAGUCAUAUGCUUGUCUCAAAGAUUAAGCCAUGCAUGUCUAAGUAUAAGCAAUUUAUACAGUGAAACUGCGAAUGGCUCAUUAAAUCGGUUAUCGUUUAUUUGAUAGUACCUUACUACUUGGAUAACCGUGGUAAUUCUAGAGCUAAUACAUGCUUAAAAUCCCGACUGUUUGGAAGGGAUGUAUUUAUUAGAUAAAAAAUCAAUGUCUUCGGACUCUUUGAUGAUUCAUAAUAACUUUUCGAAUCGCAUGGCCUUGUGCUGGCGAUGGUUCAUUCAAAUUUCUGCCCUAUCAACUUUCGAUGGUAAGAUAGUGGCCUACCAUGGUUUCAACGGGUAACGGGGAAUAAGGGC
Molecule: ribosomal RNA, 371 nt
Filed under: uncultured fungus
Lineage: Eukaryota; Fungi
Description: bacterial SSU rRNA
Rfam family: Eukaryotic small subunit ribosomal RNA
Source: RNAcentral